This 308-nucleotide long non-coding RNA is filed under the name Mytilus galloprovincialis (Mediterranean mussel). The record is from RNAcentral. Lineage: Eukaryota; Metazoa; Mollusca; Bivalvia; Mytilida; Mytilidae.
AAUACAUAAAGUUUAUAAAAAAAUUCAUAAAUUUGACUGUCAUACAAGUUCUCAUAAAAUUUGACAUCCAUUACAUUGUAUCAUGACAUCACAAUUAAAGUGCUUUUAGCAUGACCUCUAGUUUAUUCAUUUACAGAUCUUGAGAUCAUUUUGAGACAAAAUUCAGUUGAAUAGCAAAAGUGUAAAUACAUGUAUGAGGGGGAGGACAGGGGUAAGGGAGACAGGGAGGAAGGGUGUAGGAGAAAGGAGAAAGGGUGUAGGAGAAAGGAGAAAGGGGUAGGAGAAAGGAGAGGAAGGCUGGGAGAAAG